GCAUCAAUUUGUACAGUCUCCAGUUGGCACCCCUGGUUUUUUUCCUCCCCCUGCAACGAAUAGAAGGAGAUUUUCUUCUUGUGCAUUUAUUGUUAUGAUCGGAGCUCGAUGCAACAUGAGCCAGCACGAGCCCGUGUUGACAGACGCCUGGGCUGUGAGGCGUGCGUGUCAGCGUGCACCAUAAAAAACCCCGACCAAACAGAGGGAGAGAAAGGAAAAGGGAGAGUGAGAGUGGGAGCACGCAUCGCUGGAUAUCAUAGGUUUUGGUAGCUCUCAUGGUGUAACACUCAGUCAGUAAGCAACAGGAACGAAUUCAGUCCCCGCAAUGGCUUGUGUUGUAAAAUGGACGUUAUAAAGAAGAAACAAUGAAAACAAGGACACACAAAGAAUCGAUGCCCAUGCGCAGUGGGCGGCGGCGGGGGGCGAGUGAGGAGAGAAGGGGUAGACGCCCGCACUCCAGCCCCACUCGCCCUGAACGCAACGAUAGACAGACGGUUAGAGCUCUACCUCUUUUGUCUCUUUACUACCCUGUCAUUUUCACCAUAGGUUUCUGUGUGUGCAUGCAAGUAGCAUAGUUAAUACCAAUAAAGA
Molecule: non-coding RNA, 591 nt
Organism: Paralichthys olivaceus (Japanese flounder)
Lineage: Eukaryota; Metazoa; Chordata; Actinopteri; Pleuronectiformes; Paralichthyidae
Source: RefSeq, a predicted model, not a curated record